This 425-nucleotide ribosomal RNA is filed under the name uncultured bacterium. Its description in RNAcentral is "bacterial SSU rRNA". It matches the Rfam family "Bacterial small subunit ribosomal RNA", at positions 354 to 796 of the family's 1533-position model. The record is from RNAcentral.
GUGGGGAAUAUUGGACAAUGGGGGCAACCCUGAUCCAGCCAUGCCGCGUGAGUGAUGAAGGCCUUAGGGUUGUAAAGCUCUUUCACCGGUGAAGAUAAUGACGGUAACCGGAGAAGAAGCCCCGGCUAACUUCGUGCCAGCAGCCGCGGUAAUACGAAGGGGGCUAGCGUUGUUCGGAAUUACUGGGCGUAAAGCGCACGUAGGCGGAUUGGUCAGUUAGAGGUGAAAUCCCGGAGCUCAACUCCGGAACUGCCUUUAAUACUGCCAAUCUAGAGACCGAGAGAGGUAAGUGGAACUCCUAGUGUAGAGGUGGAAUUCGUAGAUAUUAGGAAGAACACCAGUGGCGAAGGCGGCUUACUGGCUCGGAACUGACGCUGAGGUGCGAAAGCGUGGGGAGCAAACAGGAUUAGAAACCCGUGUAGUCC